This 1343-nucleotide long non-coding RNA is filed under the name Calidris pugnax (ruff). RNAcentral's name for it is "lncRNA (ENSCPUG00000003907.1)". The record is from RNAcentral. Lineage: Eukaryota; Metazoa; Chordata; Aves; Charadriiformes; Scolopacidae.
CCCCAAUCAAUGGGUUCCUCCAACCAGUGGGUGCCCAAACCAGUGGAUAACCCCAGACCAGUUGAUGCCUCCAAGCAGUCAGUGCCCCAAAAGAGUGGUUGAACCCAACCAGUGGAUUCCCCAAAACCAGUGUUUGCCCCCAAUCAGUGGGUUCCUCCAACCGUUGGGUGCCCCCAAUCAAUGGGUUCCUCCAACCAGUGGGUGCCCAAACCAGUGGAUAACCCCAGACCAGUUGAUGCCUCCAAGCAGUCAGUGCCCCAAAAGAGUGGUUGAACCCAACCAGUGGGUUCCCCAAACCAGUGUUUGCCCCCAAUCAGUGGGUUCCUCCAACCAGUGGAUGACCCCAAACCAGUGGGUCCCUCCAACUAUUGGGUGACGCAAACCAGUGGAUGACCCCAAACUAUUGGGUGCCCCACGCCAGUAGUUGCCCCCAACCAGUGAGUGCCUCCAACCACUGGUUGCCCCAAACCAGUGGGUGCUCCCAACCAAUGGUUGCCCCCAACCUGGGGUCCCUUGUCCUCCACGAUGCCCCAGGAAGCCCUGGUAGCCAUCUGGCCACUGUGGCAUCCUGGUGGAGUAGAAGGUCAGCGUUACCGGGUGCCGCCGAUGCCGUAGGGUCGCGGGAAGAUUCGCUCGUCGGUGUCGCUGCCGCGCAAAUCGACGGUGCCGUGGCAGCGCUACGCGGAGGAGGCGGCGGUGGCCCAGGGCGAGCUCUACGCCAUCCACCCCCUGGAGAAGGUGACCACCCUGGGUGGGUGGGUAGGUGGGUGUUAGCCAAAACCACCGAGGUGGCCCCGUUGGCCGUGUCCCACUUGUCACACCCCAUCUUGGUCCUUCUCCAGCACGGGCGGUUGAUCGAGGGGUUGAGGAAGGAGGUGGGGGAGAACCAGGAGAAGAUUCGGUUGAUGGAGAUGAAGGUCGGGGAGAUGGAGGAGCAGCACCGGGAGCAGCUGGAGAGGCUCCGGAAGCAGCUGGAGGAGGCCAACGCCCGGGCGGCAAAUUUGGGGGCCAGGUUGACGGCGGCCGAGGGCACCAGGAAGAAGGAUCUGGAGAGGCUGAAGAGCAGCGAGGAGAAGAACCGGGAGCUGGAGAGACGGCUGUCGGCGCUGGAGAGGGAGCAGGCGGAGCUGCGGGGUGCCAUGGCCCAAACCCUGGGCCACCCUGGCAGGACGGGACGGCGGAUGGUGGCACGGGGCUGGGACGAGAGCGGUGACGACGCUCAGGCCACCAGCGUGUGACCGGCUUGUCCCCAACAUGUCCCCAGUGUCACCCCACCAUCUCCUGGGUCUUUCCCAAGGGGUGUCACCUUCCCCUGGCAAUAAACAGUGUUGGUGUCACCGUCA